Molecule: ribosomal RNA, 245 nt
Filed under: uncultured bacterium
Lineage: Bacteria
Description: partial small subunit ribosomal RNA
Rfam family: Bacterial small subunit ribosomal RNA
Source: RNAcentral
AGAAUCAACGCUGGCGGCGUGCCUAACACAUGCAAGUCGAACGAGAAAGUGGAGCAAUCCAUGAGUAAAGUGGCGCACGGGUGAGUAACACGUGACUAACCUACCCUUGAGUGGGGGAUAACCUAGGGAAACCUGGGCUAAUACCGCAUAAUACCUUCGGGUCAAAGGAGCAAUUCGCUUAAGGAGGGGUCGCGGCCGAUUAGUUAGUUGGCGGGGUAAUGGCCCACCAAGACUAUGAUCGGUAU